Molecule: unclassified non-coding RNA, 328 nt
Filed under: Hevea brasiliensis (rubber tree)
Lineage: Eukaryota; Viridiplantae; Streptophyta; Magnoliopsida; Malpighiales; Euphorbiaceae
Source: RNAcentral
ACCAAAAUCGAGAAUUCCAAGGAUCUGGCAUCAAUAACACAAGUGGCAUGAAAUGCAAGUCAAUCCAUCAACUAACGGUAGGCUGUCAUCAGAAUCAAUCACCCAAUUGAACCAUAUGAAGAUUCUAAAAUACAGACUAAAGCAACAAUGCCCAGUUGACCCAAGAAUAUAAUGCCAGAAAAUUAGUGCAUUGUGGUACAAUGUAAUGGAAUGUCACGAAGUAUAUCCUCAAUAGAACUCUGAACGACAAAUUAAGCUCUUUUGAGACCUACCAUAUAUGCACUUCACUUAUAAAAUACAUCACAAUAAAAAUACAAAAAAAAAAAAA